This is an unclassified non-coding RNA of Pongo abelii (Sumatran orangutan), 148 nucleotides long. It matches the Rfam family "Metazoan signal recognition particle RNA". From Rfam's summary of the family: The signal recognition particle (SRP) is a universally conserved ribonucleoprotein. It is involved in the co-translational targeting of proteins to membranes. The eukaryotic SRP consists of a 300-nucleotide 7S RNA and six proteins: SRPs 72, 68, 54, 19, 14, and 9. Lineage: Eukaryota; Metazoa; Chordata; Mammalia; Primates; Hominidae. The record is from Ensembl.
GCCGGGCAUGGUGGCGUAUGCCUGUAGUCCCAGUUACUCGGGAGGCUGAGACAGGAGAAUCGCUUGAAUCCAGGAGGCGGAGGUUGCAGUGAGCUCAGAUUGUGCCAUGGCACUCUGGCCUGGGUGACAGAGCGAGAUUCCGUCUUUA